AUUGAACGCUGGCGGCAUGCCUUACACAUGCAAGUCGAACGGUAACAGGUCUUCGGAUGCUGACGAGUGGCGAACGGGUGAGUAAUACAUCGGAACGUGCCUAGUAGUGGGGGAUAACUACUCGAAAGAGUGGCUAAUACCGCAUGAGAUCUACGGAUGAAAGCAGAGGAUCGCAAGACCUUGUGCUACUAGAGCGGCCGAUGGCAGAUUAGGUAGUUGGUGGGAUAAAAGCUUACCAAGCCGACGAUCUGUAGCUGGUCUGAGAGGACGAUCAGCCACACGCGGGCUGAGACACGGACCAGACUCCUACGGGAGGAAGCAGUGGGGAAUUUUCGACAAUGGGCGCAAGCCUGAUCCAGCAAUGCCGCGUGCAGGAUGAAGGCCUUCGGGUUGUAAACUGCUUUUGUACGGAACGAAAAGCCCUGGGUUAAUACCCUGGGGUCAUGACGGUACCGUAAGAAUAAGCACCGGCUAACUACGUGCCAGCAGCCGCGGUAA
This 498-nucleotide ribosomal RNA is filed under the name uncultured bacterium. RNAcentral describes it as "partial 16S ribosomal RNA". It matches the Rfam family "Bacterial small subunit ribosomal RNA", at positions 30 to 523 of the family's 1533-position model. The record is from RNAcentral.